This 444-nucleotide ribosomal RNA is filed under the name uncultured bacterium. Its description in RNAcentral is "partial small subunit ribosomal RNA". It matches the Rfam family "Bacterial small subunit ribosomal RNA", at positions 369 to 808 of the family's 1533-position model. The record is from RNAcentral.
CAAUGGGGGACGAAAGNCUGNAUGCAGCGCACGCCGCCGCUGGAGGCGNANGAAGUAUUUCCNGGUAUGGUNAAGCUCUUAUNNACCGGGGAAGCAUAAUGACNGUGACCUNUACUAAGUANGCACCGGCUAAAUACNUGUCCAGCGANCCGCGGCUAAUACNUAUGGUGCAAGCNUUAUCCGGAUUUACUGGGUGNAAAGGGAGCGCAGGCCGUGCGGCAAGUCUGAUGUGAAAGCCCGGGGCUCAACCCCGGUACUGCAUUGGAAACUGUCCUACUAGAGUGUCGGANGGGNAAGCGGAAUUCCUAUUGUAGCGGUGAAAUGCGUAGAUAUUAUGAGGAACACCAGUGGCGAAGGCGGCUUACUGNACUAUAACUGACNCUGAGGCUCGAANGCGUGGGGAGCAAACACGAUUAGAUACCCUGGUANUCCAAGGGCGAAUUC